GACGUAGGGUGCAAGCGUUGUCCGGAUUUAUUGGGCGUAAAGAGUUCGUAGGCGGUUGCCUAAGUCUGAUGUUAAAGCCCGGAGCUCAACUCCGGUAUGGCAUUGGAAACUGGGCAGCUUGAGUAUGAUAGAGGUUACGGGAAUUCCUGGUGUAGCGGUGAAAUGCGUAGAUAUCAGGAGGAACACCGGUGGCGAAAGCGCGUAACUGGGGUCAUAACUGACGCUGAGGAACGAAAGCCAGGGUAGCAAAAAAGG
Molecule: ribosomal RNA, 255 nt
Filed under: uncultured bacterium
Lineage: Bacteria
Description: partial 16S ribosomal RNA
Rfam family: Bacterial small subunit ribosomal RNA
Source: RNAcentral